RNAcentral lists this ribosomal RNA (418 nucleotides) under Entamoeba histolytica. RNAcentral describes it as "bacterial SSU rRNA". It matches the Rfam family "Eukaryotic small subunit ribosomal RNA", at positions 1 to 425 of the family's 1831-position model. Lineage: Eukaryota; Evosea; Mastigamoebida; Endamoebidae. The record is from RNAcentral.
UAUCUGGUUGAUCCUGCCAGUAUUAUAUGCUGAUGUUAAAGAUUAAGCCAUGCAUGUGUAAGUAUAAAGACCAAGUAGGAUGAAACUGCGGACGGCUCAUUAUAACAGUAAUAGUUUCUUUGGUUAGUAAAAUACAAGGAUAGCUUUGUGAAUGAUAAAGAUAAUACUUGAGACGAUCCAGUUUGUAUUAGUACAAAAUGGCCAAUUCAUUCAAUGAAUUGAGAAAUGACAUUCUAAGUGAGUUAGGAUGCCACGACAAUUGUAGAACACACAGUGUUUAACAAGUAACCAAUGAGAAUUUCUGAUCUAUCAAUCAGUUGGUAGUAUCGAGGACUACCAAGAUUAUAACGGAUAACGAGGAAUUGGGGUUCGACAUCGGAGAGGGAGCUUUACAGAUGGCUACCACUUCUAAGGAAGG